This 7546-nucleotide long non-coding RNA is filed under the name Brassica napus (rape). RNAcentral's name for it is "long non-coding RNA (BNAP_LNC026394)". Lineage: Eukaryota; Viridiplantae; Streptophyta; Magnoliopsida; Brassicales; Brassicaceae. The record is from RNAcentral.
UCGAAACGUGAGCCCCACCAUCACCUUGCUCCUCCCACUGCCUGAAACAAUAAUUACAAACACGGAUCCUCUCCCACUCCUCCCGAGGAGCUCUCAAGUCACUCCCAGCCAAAGGUAUAGAGUUGGCAGUACACUUGCCGCAGAAAACUCUCCCACAGAGACGGCAGUGGUGCCUGCGGUUGAUGAGAGUAAACUGACAGUCACACUCGUAGCAAACACGACAGCUCUGAUCAGGCAUCCAGAAGUCCCUGGACACGGUAGCUGGCUCUGAUCGCCAGGGGAUCCAGGAUUUGACCAGACCCACAAUCUCGGAGAGUGUCUUGUUACUACUACUAUCUCUUGUAUCCAUCUAAAACCUCCCCAACCAUAAUGCUAUGACGGUCAUGGAAAGUCUAUAGAAAUCCAAAACUUUACCCUAAUCAAGAGAGAUAAACGCUAAAACAAUGCUUUGAUCCGGAUCCAAUUAUCACGAAAUCAAUUGGGGGCGAUCAAAGAAACGUUUUUUUUUUUUUUUUCUUUUCAAAAUCGAGCAAAUUCAUCAUCAUCAGGGAUCAAUCAUCUGCAGAAUUGAAAUCGAAAUUCGAAACUUUUGGAAACCCAAAUGAAGUGAUCGCAUGGGAUUUACCUAAAAGAGAAAGCUUGAGGAGUCACGAGAAGGAGAAGAUCGUCUUGUGUUUUUGAUUGACUGAUAAUUCAUGGCAGGGAUAGCGACAUCGUCAAUAAUCCGCGUCUUACAGUUUUAAAUUCAUUACACCGUCGCGUACCUAAUCUUAACUCCCCACACCAUUAUUAUUACAUUUAAUUUUUUGCCUAAUUUAUGAUUUUUUUUUAUAUAUUCAGGUAUAUGAUUUGGCGCAGAAUAUCUGAUAUAUAUGGACCAAAAUACUUUCGAAAUCCCAUAAUUGCAGUUAUUAAUACUGAAAAAUUACUCAAUGACUCUGGUUUUUUUUUCUUUAAAAGGAAAUUGAGGAUCGUCGUCAACAAACCAAAAAAAAGGAUAUUGAGAAUAUUAGGAAAAAAGUAAAUGAGAAUCAAUAGCACAUACUUUCAAAUGUAUAUUACAAGUAUUGAGAACUCGUCGAGAAAAUAUUUUACAAUAAGAAAAAUAAUUAAAGGGAGAAUAUAAGUUCAAUUUCUUAAAUGAGAAUCUUUGAAAAAUCAUAAAAUUUUAUAAGGUGCAUUUGUCUCUCACAGAUUCACUCAGUUUUUUAUUUAGAAUUAAUUAAAUUAAAUUUAAUACAAUACUAAUAUUUUUAAGAUACUCUUGAAUUAAGUAUAUAAAGAAUAGAGAUAUCUUAACUAGCAAAAAAAAAUUAUAAAGAACUAAAAAAUAAUUUGGAAACUUUAAAUUUUAUAAAAUAGCCUGAGUUGAACCGAAGAAUAGUGCUCCCCAAUGCACUAACCAAUGCACAAAAACCAAUUUCUAUACAAGACAAAAAAGACUGAUAUAUUAUGAGGAUUCAUGUAUCACUCUGCUUGUGUACCGGCUUGAGAGGUUUCUUCAGGUUGAUCAGACCUGGAGUUAUUAGCAAUGACAUUAGGCGGAGACCAUUGAUCAGGAACCAUGAGGAAGUAAGUCGUCAUGGCCUUUCUGAAUCUUCUCUUGUAUUGCUUUGGAGAGAUAACCGUUGGUGCUUCAUUCUUUGGUCCUCCUAAGAUUCCCGUAAAUUUCACCCAAGACUCUAGAUGUUUGUCCCAUGUGUACUGCCUCAAGAAGUCGAUAAUCCCGAGAACUAACUCGUUCUUUUCUUCAUCUACGCCUACUAGCAAGGAGUAAUCCAUCACAUCACCCAACUGCAAACACAAAGACGAUACAAAACGUUUACAAUAGAGUACAGAUGAGUAAAUGAUUUGCAAGAGAGUAAAACUCACUGCAAGAAAAGCAGUAUCGUUCCAGACAGCUCUUUCCAACAAUCGUUUUGCUUUGUUACCAACGAAGAUGGGAGAAGUUGGCAUUGCUUCAAUCAAGUUCUGAUCCAACAAGACCUUGUUGCUCCCACUAGCGUCAGGGUUGUAUCGCGCUCGGGAUGAUCCUUUGAGGUCGUAAAGCCGCUUCACAGUUCUUCCAAAGAGAAGAUUCUCCAUUAUCAGAACAUCCAUCUUUGUUUCUUUCCCGCUCUUAAGUUGCUUUGUUGCGACCUAUAAACACAAAUACAUACUCUCAUCAAGAAUGAAUCAAACCUGACCAGAAAAAAAUCUCUCUCAACUUAGCAAUUAGUACCUGAUAGAUUCCCAAGAUUUUUGCCAAACAAGUUGGACUUUUCGUGCUGAUAGACUCAGAUAAAUAUUUGAAGUAAGCAGGUGCAAACUUGAUGAACGAUUCAAGUUCUGUCUUGGUGACUUGCUUGAUGAUGAAACGAUCGUCAAGGGUUUUAGCAAAGAAGACAUUGCUCUUCCCACCUUGAGCUCCCCAUUUCUUACACCGGCUAAGAGACCUUAUAUACUCAAGUUCCGAAGGGAUACAUAUACCUCUCAAGGCCUCAAACCGUUUUGCAUAGUAGCAAGUAACCGUGUACUUCACUUUUCCAAGAGUGCCGUCUUCUCCGUAUGAGACACGAGCAUGUAAAGCUUUUGUAUACGAGAGCGGGUCCAGACUGCGAGAUGAGGACAUUGAAAGUAUACUCUCAUCCACCGAACUUGUGCUUCUGCUAGGAUCAAAAAUGGUGUCAUCAACUGGGCGAGGGAUGUUCAGUUCAGAAGUAUACGAAACUAGAGAUUCCCCUUCAAGAGAUAUUUGGCGUUGAUACUCAGGUGACGUCAAGGCGUAUGCGAUCAUACUUGUGGGUUCAUCAUCAUACACCGGAACAACGAUAUCAUUGAUGCCUACGGGAAGAAGUAGCCUUGGUCCACCUUGAAGCUCUGCCUCUCUAAAAGAUGAAAUAUAGACAGGGCUAUGCUCUCCAAAUGUAUCGAGCUUCUGAGAGCUAAGCAAAAAAUUCUUGUUGAUGGAGCGGUAGAAAUUGAGGAAUGGCACACCUAACCAGCUUACAGAAUCUUCUGAGCUCUCAUAAUCUUUACUCGGUAGAGCAGGUGAAACUGGAUACGCCACCUUGAAUUCGUUUUGCUGUUCUGGGAGAUCUAUUGGAGGGAAAGUUGAAGAGUUUGAAGGAGGAAGCAAGAUCUUAGUAUUGGUUGGAAUCUCCCCUGAUGUCUGACGCUCGCCUAUCCAUGCUGCAUCAAGAGUAGCUGAUAGAUUUUUCAUAACUAUCUCGCCAUCUGACUGUGUCCUGCGAACAUCGAGUUUACUUUCCAGAGGUUCAGAACUAUCAGGUAAGGUCUUGCUGGGAGAGACUUCUCCACCAUCUUCCUUUUCCGGAUUCAUAUCUAAAUUCGUAUCCGCUUCCUUCUGAACCUUAGUGUCAUCAGUAGAACCACCAUCAGGAUUCUGAUCAACCUCUGAGCCAGAAAGAAGAGAGUUAGUCCCAGCAUUCAUCUCGGGGAGGGUCUGGCUCUUAGCCAAGGGUACUUUCUCAUUUUCAUCACUACACUCAAUCUUAGAUAAACUUGAUGCAUUAAUCAAGCGGUGAUCCCACAUAUAUGACUGAAAAAUCAGCUGCCUGCGAAGCCGGUACAGCUCAAGAAUAUCCACUUGAGGUUGGCCUUCCUUCACCUCCCUGUGCAACAUCAUCUUUUGAAUAUUAUCCUGAAAGAAAUGUCAGAACGUUACAAAACAAAACCUUUUGUCUUAAAAAUAAUAAUUGUAGUAUAUUGGUUUUAAGAAAACUCUUUAAUACAUAAUUUAUUACCUCGAACUCUGCUUUCUCUCUUUGCAGCAAUUCUUCGAGUUCACCAAUUCGACGCCUAAAACCUUUUGCUGCAAUUUGACUAAUAGCAUUCAAUACUUCAGAAAACAGAAGCUCGGCUCUCUCUACCACCUGAAUAAUAAAAGGGAAGACAAGUCAGUUAAAAUGUGUGAGAUUUCAAAACCGCAUCCCAGUAAAAUCACAGAUAUUUAACCUCAUCUGUCUCUCUCUGUAUCCAGUCCUGAUUAUCAUAGUUGAAACUAAGAACUGAUGGUGGAAGGUAGACAGAAUUAACAUCUAUAGUAGCGUAACGGAAGCAAGCAACCAUGUUCCCGAAUCUGCAUGGGUACAACUUGUUAGAGCAAAGGAAUACAGAAUUUUUCAGACAUGUUUCACCAUUUUGAAAGUACCCGUAGAAACGAAGACAGUCUCUAUGGAGAGAGUGGCCACAACAUGCUACUCUACUGGCAGCUGCGUGAUUUGAGAAACUGAGCUCCAGAAACUUCCCAAAGGAUAAUCCCCAUGCAGCAUCAGACAUCACCACUCGUAGAGUCGCGGGAGGAAAACCGUCAGGUCGAGGGCAUCUCAGGCAUCUAUGCCACAUCCAAAUCUUCCCCUCCUUUUCACCAGGUAAGAGACAAUCUUGAAGCUUCUUGACAGAUAUCGUAAGGCUGCCUUGUCGAUGAGUGUAACAGUGAACGUGAGCUUCUGAUGGCAUCUCACAUGAACGACACCUGUAACCCUGCAAUUCGAGCAUGUAUUUAAGUUACCAUAUUAAUAUGUAAGCUGCAGUAGAGAAGUCACACUGUAAAACAUAUAUAAAGUAGAAAAAAACCUACCUGAUCGAACAAAUGAUCUCUCAAGAACCGUCCCAAGGGUUUAUCGAAACUACCAUAGUACUUUAUCCGGAAGAGAUGAGACCUCUCACACACAGUUCCUUUCCACACUGAUCUGGACGAUAGAGAAACCAAGAUGCUUUGGUGAUCAGAGGGUGCCGGAGGAAACUCCUCUUUUUGAGAUUGUGGUUCCUUUGGAGUCUCACUGUUUUGUUGUUGGAUGGCCGUAAACUCUGUACCAUUGUCCUGGUUUUCUACUACAACGCUCUUACUACUUUGAGAACUCUGUGGCACAACGCCUUGCCCUGAUGAAUGUAGGGAACUGUCCAAUAUGUCUGUUGGGUUGCUUUUGUCGGCCAGUGCAGAUCUUUCAGAAAAAUCUGCGUUUCUUCCAGCUAUCAAACGGUCAGGCAAAUUCAAUGGAACAUUAUAGCGUGAAAAUGUGAAACCCGGAGUUCCUUCUCUACCCUGCCAGCCUGAACCAUUGGGUAUCAGAGGGUUUAUGUCCUUCUGGAUGGAUACAUUAGCAGUGGUUGAAAGCAACUCAGAUGCUGGGACACUGUUUGCUCGCUGUGGUUCGGAACCAGUUAGCAUUGUUGGAGACUUUUCAUAUGCAGAGACCAUGAAACCUGGCACAGUAGAUAUCGAACGUUCAAUGCUCAUGGAUUUAUCUGGAAGAGCUACCGUAAUCGGGGAGUUCAAGGGGAGUUCUGGUGAGGCUCCUUCGUCAGCAAGAAACGAUGUCUCCAGUGCCAAAUGAUAAGCUGCGAAAACUCCAUAUUGGACCACAUGCUUCACUUUUUUCAACUCUUCUUCAUUAGCACCCCUAAGCAAAAUCUGAUGAAGAGAGAACACAAAAAAAAAAACAAGAAGUAGUUAUGAAGCAAUCAGAUAUAAGAGAUCUGCUCAGCGUUUUUUUUUUUAAUUCUAAUGGCUAGGAGUGCUUACUGUAAAGCCUAAAGGCCUUGGACAACCCUCAAAAUACAUCAACGUCUUCACUACUUUCUUUCCAGCUUGACCAGCUGAACCAUGUUCUUCAAGAAACCUAUCCACACGAAAAUUCUCACAGUAACCCAGCUUUUGAGAGGAGAGGUGGUCUACUGAAGGAAUUAUCUGAGCACCAGUGCAGCGAGCAAUGCGGUCUAAAAGUGGCCUCUUAAUGUUUAGAACAAGAGAUAUGUCUUUGGCUAGAAGGUACUCUUGCGCAAAUCGAGAAACUGAUUUUUCGACUAGUAGAAUGUUUGGACGUUCAGCGUGAAUCUUUGCAACAGCCAUCUUUAGAUGAUCCUUUUCCUGAUACACCAAAAUAAGUAAAAUGAGUUAAGGCAUAACUAAGCAAACUCCAUAUAUAACCACCAACGAGAAGAAACAAAAUAUUUCACCUGUUGCAACAAAGUAUCAAAACUCGAUAACUGGUUCGAGACCCUCUGAUACUCAAGCCCACCGCCUAGAAUCAAUAGUCGAGCGUUCUCAAUCUUCGCUCUCAUUCUCCUAUGAGCCACGUUUUUCUUGCAAACAACUCCUUUAACCACCAUGCUGUAAUUUGAUACACGGACAAAACUUCAUAUGUAUCCAGAUAAAAUGAAGCACUAUGGACUCAACAUUAGUCUUUUGAGAUUUAAGUUUUGUUGGUUCUGUUACCUAUCAUGUCGGAACCCGGAAGCUAAGCACUUAACUUUGACAUAGCCACCAGGAUCCAUUCCUCCACUUUUGCUCAUAUCAGGCUUCAAUAAGUUAGCCGCCUCCCAAGAAAGAGAGGUGAUGAUCUCUAACCAGCUCUCCUUCCCCUCUUCGUCGCUCACAGGGAUGUUCUCGACUUGCAACAACUGUGCAAGCAAAGCCCUAAAGUGCCCAUCAACCACAUUCUUCAUAGCCUUCUUGUGCUCUUCACUUGUUCGAUCCUCGCUACGGUACUCUCCACUUCCAAAGCUAGCGGAAGGUCGCAAGUAUCCCCACUCACCUGAGGCCUCUCCCUCAUUAUCUUCCUCAUCAUACAAAGGACUUUCUCUCUCAUCUUCUUCAUUUUCCGGGUCAGGUGGGACCCACAAAAGUCCAUUGUUCUCGAAAUCCACCGGUUCCGCCACUUGGUCAUCUGGCGGAGAAGGAGCUUCAGAUUCGUCACGACCAUCAUGCUCGUCUUUCUUCUGGAACUGCUCUGCUCCUUCCCCAAUCAGAGACUCAAGACAAUGGUGAAUGAGUGGAGAGCCGCUUAAACUUUUCUGGUCAGAGGUUUCGCCACUAAGAUGCUUACAGAGCCCAUCACCACCUAUGCUCGUCUCCUCAUAUUCCAUUGGCCCAUAAUAUUGAUUAGCUUGAGGAGAAUGGCUCGUAUCAAUAUCAGUCUGGUAUACACCAUACUCAUCGUACUCAUCAUCACUCCUGAUACAUAAAGGAAAAGAAAAGAAAAAAACAAAUUACCCACAAGACCUACCCUAGAGCUUGUUUGCAGUUCAGAAGAAAAGAGUACCUAUUUGAAGCAAAGCGAGAUGGAUCUUGCACAUCUGUAGCGAUGAAGCUGUUCCUCCUCGAAGUUUCUUUGCCUUUUCUCGUCGUGCCUGCCUCCAUAGACGAUACACCAUGCAAACUGACAUCAGAACCACGUUGAGCCCUUUGGUAAGGACCAACUAACCCCGGCAUGGAGCCAAGAGCGAAGCUACUACUAUUAGCAGUGGUACUAGUCUUCGAGCUAAGAAGACUGGACUCCGAAGGCGAGGUGCUAAGCUCAGGGACAUUCGAAACGUGAGCCCCACCAUCACCUUGCUCCUCCCACUGCCUGAAACAAUAAUUACAAACACGGAUCCUCUCCCACUCCUCCCGAGGAGCUCUCAAGUCACUCCCAGCCAAAGGUAUAGAGUUGGCAGUACACUUGCCGCAGAAAACUCUCCCACAGAGACGGCAGUGGUGCCUGCGGUUGAUGAGAGUAAACUGACAGUCACACUCGUAGCAAACACGACAGCUCUGAUCAGG